RNAcentral lists this long non-coding RNA (279 nucleotides) under Nicotiana benthamiana. RNAcentral describes it as "long non-coding RNA (NBEN_LNC040529)". The record is from RNAcentral. Lineage: Eukaryota; Viridiplantae; Streptophyta; Magnoliopsida; Solanales; Solanaceae.
GAAUCUCUUCAGAACCCUCCCAAAGCUAUGCCCAAAACCUAGAAUGCUUGUCUGCGCUCCUUCAAAUGCUGCAACCGAUGAGCUUCUUGCACGUGUUCUUGAUCGUGGAUUCAUUGAUGGAGAGAUGAAAGCGAGCUUCUUGCGCGUGUUCUUGAUCGUGGAUUCAUCGAUGGCGAGAUGAAAGUUUAUCGGCCUGAUGUUGCACGAGUCGGUGUGGAUUCCCAAACGCGUGCUGCCCAAGCAGUCUCUGUAGAGCGGAGAACUGAACAGCUUUUGAUG